GAAAUUGACACCUUAACUUUGAGGGCCAAUAAUUCCUUCAUAAAAACUCUAAAUCAUACAAAAUUUACAUCUAAUUUGUAUCCAAAACCUAAACUUAAUGAUCCUAGCCUCCAAAGCUCGAAUGUCUUGCAAAGAGAAAUCCCAAUCUCUAAUAAGACCUUAGGCAACCUCCUUGAAGUCCAUUGGGCAUAGCCUUCGACCAAUAGGAAUGAAGAUUCUCAUUCUUUGCUUUCAUCCAACUAUGCCUUACUUUCAUCCCUCCUAAUAAGCCUCCUAAUAGUUAAGAUUUUUAUCUUUAGACUCUUAUCUCUUCUCAAGGCUUCAUACUAAAUAUUUACGUCCUAUAAUUUUUUUAAAUGCUAUAAUCAAAAUAGAUAA
Molecule: long non-coding RNA, 378 nt
Filed under: Physcomitrium patens
Lineage: Eukaryota; Viridiplantae; Streptophyta; Bryopsida; Funariales; Funariaceae
Description: long non-coding RNA (PPAT_LNC005603)
Source: RNAcentral